GGACCCAGGAGUGGGUGGUGGAGGUGGUAAUGAACCUCUUCGGACAUGCUGACGUCAGGGGUCUGCGGAGCAGGCAGUCUGUCGUAGGGAGAGGAAGGGAGAGAGAAAAACAUCGAUGCAAGAGAGAAGCAUCGAUAGUUUGCCUCGUGUACAUGCCUGGACCGGGGACUGGUGCCCAGACCAGGGUGAGCGGCACCUGGCAAGGAAGAGACAUUUCGUGGGCACUUGAAAGAUGGAUGAAGUGUCUGUCAUAAUUCCUUGCAUGCAGUUGAUGGCCUCAUUUGUUACUUGUUCUUUUUAAAAGUAUUUACUGAUUUUAGAGAGAGCAAAAAAUUGAUGUGAGAAACAUCAAUUGUUUGCCUCCCAUAGGCACCUGACUGGGGGUUGAACCUACAACCUAGGUAUGUGCCCUGACUGGGACUCAAACCCGUAACCUUUGGGUAAGGGAACAACACUCCAACCAACUGAGCCACGCUGGUGAGGGAAGAUAACGGCUCACUUUUAAUGAGAUCCAAUAUGCCAGCGACUCCGCUCAGCAUCAAACCUUCUUCUUGCAACAGCACCGAGACGGGUUCAGUUCUUGUUCCCAUUAUGUAGGAAAGGAAAUGCGCUCAGAGAACACAGCUGGUAGGUGCAGAAGCAGGAUCUGGGGCUUGCUUUUAACCACAGGGUCAGCCCAGAUACUGGGGGCUGGUCUGGGACUAGUUCAGAACUCAUUAUCCCCGUUUCCCCAAGCCUCUCCCUGUCUGACAAUACUGCAAAUUCACUGUCAUUUAUUUAACCCACCACUGUUUGUUGACCUCUACUAUGAGAUAAUGGGCCAGGCACUGGUGACACAGAAUGGAUCAAAGUGGCUGCAGCCCUGCAGGCGCUUGGUGGAGAGGAAAAGCGGGCUGGUGGGCAGGCAAACGGCACCACACAGUGUGAUAUGUGUUGUAAUGGGGGGUGGUCCUCAUGCAGAGGGAGCCCCGGAGCAGGAGCUCCAGAGUCUGCCUGGUGAGGCGAGAGCAGAUGGGAGGGGAGGGAGCAGGGUACCUCUCAUGUGGCCCAGGCUUGACCCCAGGCUCAUGAGGUCCCACGGAAGAGGCUGAGUAGAUGAACAUGUUGCAAAGUUCCCUGCGCCUGCAGGGGAGUUGGCAGUCGGAGGAGUUAAGGUGGAAUACAGAGGGGAGCAACUUCUGAAAUUACUGCAGGUGCCAGAGGCAGGGAUUUUUUGUGUGUUGUGUUCGCUGGCACAUCUCAAGCACUGGAAUCAGGGUCUGACACAGAGUUGGUGCUCAGUGAAUACUUUGUGAAUGAAUGAAUGAGUGAAUUGGAUGAAUGUUCGAACUUCUCUGGGAGAGAUGCAGGGGACCUGGACUGUUGUGUCAGUGGGGCUGAGGAGGGGCAUGGGUAGGGGCUGGAAUCCAGGGAAGGGGUAGUUGACAGUUGGUGGUCAUGGAGUGGGAGAGUGACUCCCAAGUUUCUGUCUUAAACACGUUUCUGACUCCUGAAGAAAGGAAGAGAACAGGACUGGGAGAGAGGGGGAGUUCAGGCUGGGGCUUGCUGAACCCGAAGUCCAACGGACGGUCCCAGAAAAGGGUUGGAUAUGUGUGUCACUUUAAAAAUUGUAAAAUGCUUCUGAAGCAUGUGUAAUAGUCUGUCCACCUCUUCUUCCAUAUCCCUGAUACUCUGAAAAAAUAUGCAGAGACAUCUUUGAGCGUCGUCAGCGAUCGAAGGUAACGGAAGCCCUGGCAUGAGCAAGAUCAUGCUGAGAGGCUUGCAGGGCAGAGAGCAGAAGGCCAAGGGCAGAGGGGGCAGAGGAGGGAAGCCAGAGCAGGGGCAUGAGAAGGAGCGUAUAGAGAUGGAGGGGGAACCCCAGGAAAAGUGGUGUUGUGGAAACCAGGGAGGAGAGAGGAAGGAGAGAGGGACGGCCCAGAGGGCAGGGGUCUCAGGGAGGGGUGACCAGACCAGCAUGUCGGAGGGGGGUGACGUGGAUUGCAGCAGCAGGAGAGGGGGACAGUGUGAGUUCAGACAGCCUUCGUAGGGCCUGGGCUGUAAGCUAGAGGGAGACAGGAGAGCGUGGGUGGAGAAUGCAAGGUCAGGGAGAGAUGGCCCAGGUUUUUAGGACAAGGGCUUGGGCGGGCCAGAGGGGACCAUUCUCCUUCCCCCAGAGAGAAGGGAGGAGGUGAUGGACAGAGACUUACGUGUGUCUGUACAACUUUUUUGCUUGAUAGUGUGUAUUUUCUCUCGAAAAAUGCUUUUUAGUUCUCUAUCUUUCCAGUUUUUUCUUCUAUCCCAAAUUGUUUAUGAAGUAAGAAUGUUACAAACACGGCACAUAUUAGUGGUAACGGUGGAGCCGCAGAGUGUGGCGCCCUCUCCAGGCUGCACCGUGAGAACCACCAGCAGCGUGCGUGGUGGAACUGGGGGCCCUUUCCGAGGCCGCGGCUCUCAGUGCGGGGAUGUCAGCCCUCGCGCCUCCCCACCUCGCACCUCCCUGAGCUUGUGGACCCGGCUGGUGAUCCACUGGGUGUCCGUAUUCCUUCCAGUAGCCUCAUGGGAUGGAUCGAUGAGGAUGACCUCAAAGACUUUGUACGUGGAAUCUUUACCCACCCAGUAAGAAUUCAGGACUCUCAGAGCCCACGGUGGCGCCCAGCAACAGACUAAAGGCUUCGAACAAACUUCGGCUGGUUAACACCGAAGUGGACAGACUCGCCAUAGGUCACCACAGGGCACAUGAAUCUGAUAUAUAACAUAACCUUGCUUGACCUUGUAUCCCAGCCUGCACGCUUUAUUGGGCCUGGUGGGGCGGUGCAGGGGGCGGGGGUGUCCCUGGGGAAUGCAGAGAGCUGGCGGUUCUGCCAGCAGCGCUCCCUGAGAAGGAAGCGCGUCACAUCCGGCUGCUUCCUCCUCCACAGGUCAAGGGCGCGCUUGGCAACGCCCACCUUGGCCUACCAGACCGCUGCUGGCCAGGCGGAAACGAAGAGCCUUUUCCCACAACCCCUUUUGGGCUCCUCCAUUUUUCCAGUUUUACUGGGAUGUAACUGACAUACAACAUCGCCUGACCGUACACCAGUUUGAGGUGUACAGCACAAUGAUUUGAUGUGUGUACAAGUGCUUAGUGCGAUAAGCUAACAUCUGUCACUCUUAAAAAAAGACUUUUUAGUGGCAUUAUUUGCACAUAAUAAAAUGUCUGUAUUUUAA
Molecule: long non-coding RNA, 3183 nt
Organism: Artibeus jamaicensis (Jamaican fruit-eating bat)
Lineage: Eukaryota; Metazoa; Chordata; Mammalia; Chiroptera; Phyllostomidae
Exons: 2
Source: RefSeq, a predicted model, not a curated record